UGCAGUCGAGCGGCAGCGACAUGACUGAACCUUCGGGGGACGUUAUGGGCGGCGAGCGGCGGACGGGUGAGUAAUGCCUGGGAAUAUGCCCUGAUGUGGGGGAUAACCAUUGGAAACGAUGGCUAAUACCGCAUAAUCUCUUCGGAGCAAAGAGGGGGACCUUCGGGCCUCUCGCGUCAGGAUUAGCCCAGGUGGGAUUAGCUAGUUGGUGGGGUAACGGCUCACCAAGGCGACGAUCCCUAGCUGGUCUGAGAGGAUGAUCAGCCACACUGGAACUGAGACACGGUCCAGACUCCUACGGGAGGCAGCAGUGGGGAAUAUUGCACAAUGGGGGAAACCCUGAUGCAGCCAUGCCGCGUGUGUGAAGAAGGCCUUCGGGUUGUAAAGCACUUUCAGNNGUGAGGAAGGGNUUNCAGUUAAUAGCUGUACUNUUUGACGUUAGCGACAGAAGAAGCACCGGCUAACUCCGUGCCAGCAGCCGCGGUAAUACGGAGGGUGCGAGCGUUAAUCGGAAUUACUGGGCGUAAAGCGCAUGCAGGCGGUCUGUUAAGCAAGAUGUGAAAGCCCGGGGCUCAACCUCGGAACAGCAUUUUGAACUGGCAGACUAGAGUCUUGUAGAGGGGGGUAGAAUUUCAGGUGUAGCGGUGAAAUGCGUAGAGAUCUGAAGGAAUACCGGUGGCGAAGGCGGCCCCCUGGACAAAGACUGACGCUCAGAUGCGAAAGCGUGGGGAGCAAACAGGAUUAGAUACCCUGGUAGUCCACGCCGUAAACGAUGUCUACUUGGAGGUUGUGGCCUUGAGCCGUGGCUUUCGGAGCUAACGCGUUAAGUAGACCGCCUGGGGAGUACGGUCGCAAGAUUAAAACUCAAAUGAAUUGACGGGGGCCCGCACAAGCGGUGGAGCAUGUGGUUUAAUUCGAUGCAACGCGAAGAACCUUACCUACUCUUGACAUCCAGAGAACUUUCCAGAGAUGGAUUGGUGCCUUCGGGAACUCUGAGACAGGUGCUGCAUGGCUGUCGUCAGCUCGUGUUGUGAAAUGUUGGGUUAAGUCCCGCAACGAGCGCAACCC
Molecule: ribosomal RNA, 1068 nt
Filed under: Photobacterium sp. 3tb19
Lineage: Bacteria; Pseudomonadati; Pseudomonadota; Gammaproteobacteria; Vibrionales; Vibrionaceae
Description: bacterial SSU rRNA
Rfam family: Bacterial small subunit ribosomal RNA
Source: RNAcentral